Molecule: ribosomal RNA, 230 nt
Filed under: uncultured bacterium
Lineage: Bacteria
Description: partial 16S ribosomal RNA
Rfam family: Bacterial small subunit ribosomal RNA
Source: RNAcentral
AAAGCGUGCGCAGGCGGUUUUGUAAGUCUGACGUGAAAUCCCCGGGCUCAACCUGGGAAUUGCGUUGGAGACUGCAAGGCUAGAAUCUGGCAGAGGGGGGUAGAAUUCCACGUGUAGCAGUGAAAUGCGUAGAGAUGUGGAGGAACACCGAUGGCGAAGGCAGCCCCCUGGGUCAAGAUUGACGCUCAUGCACGAAAGCGUGGGGAGCAAACAGGAUUAGAUACCCUUGU